CCUACGGGAGGCAGCAGUGAGGAAUAUUGGUCAAUGGACGCAAGUCUGAACCAGCCAUGCCGCGUGCAGGAAGACGGCUCUAUGAGUUGUAAACUGCUUUUGUACGAGGGUAAACGCAGAUACGCGUAUCUGUCUGAAAGUAUCGUACGAAUAAGGAUCGGCUAACUCCGUGCCAGCAGCCGCGGUAAUACGGAGGAUUCAAGCGUUAUCCGGAUUUAUUGGGUUUAAAGGGUGCGUAGGCGGUCGGAUAAGUUAGUGGUAAAAUUGAGGGGCUCAACCCCUUCCCGCCAUUGAAACUGGCGCUCGUGAGUGGAAGAGAAGUAUGCGGAAUGCGUGGUGUAGCGGUGAAAUGCAUAGAGAUCACGCAGAACCCCGAUUGCGAAGGCAGCAUGCCGGCUUCCGACUGACGCUGAAGCACGAAAGCGUGGGGAUCGAACAGGAUUAGAUACCCCUGUAGUC
RNAcentral lists this ribosomal RNA (459 nucleotides) under uncultured bacterium. RNAcentral describes it as "partial 16S ribosomal RNA". It matches the Rfam family "Bacterial small subunit ribosomal RNA", at positions 338 to 795 of the family's 1533-position model. The record is from RNAcentral.